AUGCUUUUUCUGCAAGUAAUAACGGAGAAUUCAAACUGGCAGUUUUUGGUUAUGUAUGACGUCAACAUAAUCGGACCUUUGAUCGACUUUGAUAGUUACUGGAUCACUUUUGUUUUGUACACCGAGGAGUGAACAUAGAAAUUCUCACAGAAUAUCUUUCCUGCAAGUAUCAACGAAAAUUUUAAAACUUUAUUGUAAUCGAGCGCGUAGCAACGAAGUAAUCGAGUGUUCGUCUCGCUAAAAUAAAAAUAU
This is a long non-coding RNA of Vespula pensylvanica (western yellowjacket), 252 nucleotides long. RefSeq lists it as uncharacterized. NCBI's taxonomy places the organism in Eukaryota, Metazoa, Arthropoda, Insecta, Hymenoptera, Vespidae. The record is from RefSeq and is a predicted model, not a curated record. The transcript has 3 exons.